Molecule: ribosomal RNA, 493 nt
Filed under: uncultured Flavobacteriaceae bacterium
Lineage: Bacteria; Pseudomonadati; Bacteroidota; Flavobacteriia; Flavobacteriales; Flavobacteriaceae
Description: bacterial SSU rRNA
Rfam family: Bacterial small subunit ribosomal RNA
Source: RNAcentral
GAUGAACGCUAGCGGGAGGCUUAACACAUGCAAGCUGAGGGGUAUAUUUGGGCUUGCCUAGAUAGAGACCGGCGAACGGGUGCGUAACGCGUAUGUAACUUGCCCUUAUCACAGGGAUAGCCCGGGGAAACCCGAUUAAUACCAGAUAAUAUAUUGUAUAGCAUUAUAUGAUAUUGAAAGAUUUAUCGGAUAAGGAUAGACAUGCGUAGGAUUAGUUAGUUGGUAAGGUAACGGCUUACCAAGACGAUGAUCCUUAGGGGGCCUGAGAGGGUGAUCCCCCACACUGGAACUGAGACACGGACCAGACUCCUACGGGAGGCAGCAGUGAGGAAUAUUGGACAAUGGGUGAGAGCCUGAUCCAGCCAUCCCGCGUGAAGGACUACAGCCCUAUGGGUUUUAAACUUCUUUUGUAUGGGGAUAAACCUACUCUCGUGAGAGUUAGCUGAAGGUACCAUACGAAUAAGCAUCGGCUAACUCCGUGCCAGCCGCCGCU